This 481-nucleotide ribosomal RNA is filed under the name Streptomyces baliensis. RNAcentral's name for it is "bacterial SSU rRNA". It matches the Rfam family "Bacterial small subunit ribosomal RNA", at positions 96 to 591 of the family's 1533-position model. The record is from RNAcentral. RNAcentral also lists the same sequence under 1 other name. Lineage: Bacteria; Bacillati; Actinomycetota; Actinomycetes; Kitasatosporales; Streptomycetaceae.
UGGCGAACGGGUGAGUAACACGUGGGCAAUCUGCCCUGCACUCUGGGACAAGCCCUGGAAACGGGGUCUAAUACCGGAUAAUACUUUCUCCCGCAUGGGAGAGGGUUAAAAGCUCCGGCGGUGCAGGAUGAGCCCGCGGCCUAUCAGCUUGUUGGUGGGGUGAUGGCCUACCAAGGCGACGACGGGUAGCCGGCCUGAGAGGGCGACCGGCCACACUGGGACUGAGACACGGCCCAGACUCCUACGGGAGGCAGCAGUGGGGAAUAUUGCACAAUGGGCGAAAGCCUGAUGCAGCGACGCCGCGUGAGGGAUGACGGCCUUCGGGUUGUAAACCUCUUUCAGCAGGGAAGAAGCGAAAGUGACGGUACCUGCAGAAGAAGCGCCGGCUAACUACGUGCCAGCAGCCGCGGUAAUACGUAGGGCGCAAGCGUUGUCCGGAAUUAUUGGGCGUAAAGAGCUCGUAGGCGGCUUGUCACGUCGG